GGGGAUUUAGCUUGGUGGCAUAAGCACCUGCCUUGCAAGCAGGCAGUUGUGAGUUCAAUCCCCA
This 64-nucleotide transfer RNA is filed under the name Cavia porcellus (domestic guinea pig). It matches the Rfam family "tRNA", at positions 1 to 62 of the family's 71-position model. Rfam says of the family: Transfer RNA (tRNA) molecules are approximately 80 nucleotides in length. Their secondary structure includes four short double-helical elements and three loops (D, anti-codon, and T loops). Lineage: Eukaryota; Metazoa; Chordata; Mammalia; Rodentia; Caviidae. The record is from Rfam by way of RNAcentral.